Molecule: long non-coding RNA, 204 nt
Filed under: Carica papaya (papaya)
Lineage: Eukaryota; Viridiplantae; Streptophyta; Magnoliopsida; Brassicales; Caricaceae
Description: long non-coding RNA (CPAP_LNC012925)
Source: RNAcentral
UAAUUAGUGUGAUAUUCUUAUUAGAGUAGUGUAGCUCACCCUUUCAUUAACUAUUUUAGAUCAAGAGGACCAAGAUCCAGAUGUCGAUCAGUAAGAGAGUUGUGAGUAGUUCAUUAUCCUGACUCACUUCAAGUGCUAGUGAAGGUUGUUCUAGGAUGCUUAGUUAUUCACUCUUCGUUUCAUUUGUUUAAUUUUUGUUUGUCG